AACCAGUGAAGUGGAAUCCAAUCUCUCUCCUUAUCGCCGCCGCAGGAGACUCAGUCUCACGGUUAGAGGGAGAGAGAAGGUAGUUCAAAGAAUCCCUGCUCUGUACAGAUCAAAAGAAAGCACUGAUUUUUAGCAGUCAAAACUCAAAACCCAUGUGUAAAAACAACAAAACUCGAGGAAUUACAGUAUAUGGGUGCUUGAUUGGUUGCUGGGAUUGAAGGGUUCAGAAUCAUUAAAGACUUCUGUUUUGCAGUUAAAAAAAAAAAAAAAAAAAAAAA
This 278-nucleotide unclassified non-coding RNA is filed under the name Hevea brasiliensis (rubber tree). The record is from RNAcentral. Lineage: Eukaryota; Viridiplantae; Streptophyta; Magnoliopsida; Malpighiales; Euphorbiaceae.